CUUGACUUGGACCACUCAGUUGAAGAUGUGCUCGAGACAAUGGCUACUUCGAGUGGCAUUUCAGAACCUGAGGCACAGAGUUCCCCUUCGAAGAGGCAAUUCCAUGAGAGUCACCAUUUCAUGUCAACUCCUCAGAAGAGAAAGGUCACUUUAGAAGACCAUUCCUACUCCUCAAAGACAAC
Molecule: long non-coding RNA, 182 nt
Organism: Ornithodoros turicata
Lineage: Eukaryota; Metazoa; Arthropoda; Arachnida; Ixodida; Argasidae
Exons: 3
Source: RefSeq, a predicted model, not a curated record